Molecule: transfer RNA, 63 nt
Filed under: Himacerus apterus
Lineage: Eukaryota; Metazoa; Arthropoda; Insecta; Hemiptera; Nabidae
Description: tRNA-Arg
Source: RNAcentral
AGUAGUGAAGUAAUAUAUUACAUUUAGUUUCGACCUAAAAAUUAGAGAAUUCUCUCCUUACUU